Neofelis nebulosa (Clouded leopard) is the source of this 554-nucleotide long non-coding RNA. RefSeq lists it as uncharacterized. The transcript is spliced from 3 exons. The record is from RefSeq and is a predicted model, not a curated record. NCBI's taxonomy places the organism in Eukaryota, Metazoa, Chordata, Mammalia, Carnivora, Felidae.
GGAAAGGGUGGGGAGCCAUGUGAGAUUCGCUGUCCAGAGGAUUCCAUCCAGGAUACCACAUUGCCUGUGACCAUCAUGUCUGUUUAUGAAAAUCUGGAGAAUGAAAUGCCUUCAGUUCAGCCACAUGACUCCCAUUAGCUUUGAUGGGAGCAAGACAUCUUCAUGAAGGAAAAGAAUCAUCACACAGUGCAUGAAUAACAGCCAGCCCAGGGCCACAGAAAGGCCUCACUACAGCACACAUCAUCAGCUGUGUCCUUGGGGGCUGGUCCUGUCCAAGUCCAACCCUACUUGGGAUGAGCUGGGAUUGAACCAUCAGGGUCUGUUGGGAGCUCAGCAUUCAGAGACGCCUCCUCUGGGGCCCCCUUGAAGCCUCCAGAUCGGGGCAGGGUGGGAUCUGCCAUAUCUUUCGGAAAAGCCCAUGCCUUGCUGAUUUUCAGUGCUUUCUCUUCCUCAACUCCAGGGCAUACCUGUGUGACCCCAGGGCGAGUCCCGUUGUGCCUAGACUUUUCUGAAAAAUUCCAAAUAUUUUUAUGCAUGGGUUGACCUUGAAAGAC